CCUACGGGAGGCAGCAGUGGGGAAAUUUUCCGCAAUGGGCGAAAGCCUGACGGAGCAACGCCGCGUGAGGGAUGAAGACCUUUGGGCUGUAAACCUCUUUUCUCAAGGAAGAAGAUCUGACUGUACUUGAGGAAUAAGCCACGGCUAAUUCCGUGCCAGCAGCCGCGGUAAUACGGGAGUGGCAAGCGUUAUCCGGAAUUAUUGGGCGUAAAGCGUCCGCAGGCGGCCGUUUAAGUCUGUUGUUAAAUCGUGGAGCUCAACUCCAUCACGGCAAUGGAAACUGUUCGGCUUGAGUGUGGUAGGGGCAGAGGGAAUUUCCGGUGUAGCGGUGAAAUGCGUAGAUAUCGGGAAGAACACCAGUGGCGAAAGCGCUCUGCUAGGCCAUUACUGACGCUCAUGGACGAAAGCCAGGGGAGCGAAAGGGAUUAGAUACCCCUGUAGUCCUGGCCGUAAACGAUGAACACUAGAUGUUGGGGGAAUCGACCCCCUCGGUGUCGUAGCUAACGCGUUAAGUGUUCCGCCUGGGGAGUACNCACGCAAGUGUGAAACUCAAAGGAAUUGACGG
This 565-nucleotide ribosomal RNA is filed under the name uncultured bacterium. RNAcentral describes it as "bacterial SSU rRNA". It matches the Rfam family "Bacterial small subunit ribosomal RNA", at positions 338 to 916 of the family's 1533-position model. The record is from RNAcentral.